AUUAGCUUGUUGGUGGGGUAACGGCCUACCAAGGCGACGAUGGUUAGCUGGUCUGAGAGGAUGAUCAGCCACACUGGGACUGGAACACGGCCCAGACUCCUACGGGAGGCAGCAGUGGGGAAUAUUGCGCAAUGGGCGAAAGCCUGACGCAGCAACGCCGCGUGGGUGAAGAAGGCCUGAGGGUUGUAAAGCACUUUCAAUUGUGAAGAAAAGUUAACGGUUAAUAACCGUUGACCUUGACGUUAACUUUAGAAGAAGCACCGGCUAACUCCGUGCCAGCAGCCGCGGUAAUACGGAGGGUGCAAGCGUUAAUCGGAAUUACUGGGCGUAAAGCGUGCGUAGGCGGUUUAUCAAGUCAGAUGUGAAAUCCCCGGGCUUAACCUGGGAACUGCAUUUGAAACUGGUCAACUAGAGUAUGGUAGAGGAAAGUGGAAUUUCUGGUGUAGCGGUGAGAUGCGUAGAUAUCAGAAGGAACAUCAGUGGCGAAGGCAGCUUUCUGGCCCAAUACUGACGCUGAGGUACGAGAGCGUGGGUAGCAAACAGGAAUAUAUACCCUGGUAGUCCACGCCGUAAACGAUGAUAACUAGUCGGUUGGGGGCUAUUUACCUCUUUUAGGUGACGAAGCUGACGCGAUUGAAGUUAUCCCGCCGUGGAGGUACG
This 660-nucleotide ribosomal RNA is filed under the name uncultured Gammaproteobacteria bacterium. RNAcentral's name for it is "bacterial SSU rRNA". It matches the Rfam family "Bacterial small subunit ribosomal RNA", at positions 240 to 884 of the family's 1533-position model. The record is from RNAcentral. Lineage: Bacteria; Pseudomonadati; Pseudomonadota; Gammaproteobacteria.